AAAAAAUCAAGAAAUGUGCCUUACGUCAACGGACACCGCACCGCCAUCGCUUAAAAAAAAAAAGAAAGAGUGGUGCCCAAAGUUGAUAAAGUGGAAACAGAAGUCGAUAAUCACCACAAGACUCCUCAAAGGAGGAUCUGAUCAAAGAAAAAGAGCUUCAUCUUCAUUUGUAAGUUACUUUAAGGUCUACGCUUUCACACACAGACCGGGUUGUUGGGAGAAAGAUGGUUGAAGCUUCUUUUGCUUGUCGUGUUUAAAACGAGUCAAGUAAGGGUUUUUUUUUUUUUUUUUUCAUUUCAACCGAAAAGAUUUUCCUUUCUUUUACUCUCAAAAGUUCCGCAAACUAAAAGGGUUGUAAAUGAAUUUCGCACGGAGAUAGCGGAGAGGUAACAGCAAAAGUAUCAAGAGACUGAGCGGAGUAUAUACAUAUUGAGAAUUUUGAGAUCGUUGUGGUGGGUGGUUUUGGUAGUCGUGUUUCUGUUAGAAUGGUGCCGUGCCAACGAGGGUUGUCAGGAGAAAGAAAAAUUGGGUCUGCUCGAGCCUUUCCCAUUCACAGCAAUCUGAAUUUUAUAUUCUCUAAAACUUGAAGAGGAAGGAGGAAAGAUCUAAUUAUUCAGAUUGUUGCUAAUGGGAAAGGGUUGAGUGCGAUGCAGGCAGCAGACAAUAGCGUUUGAUCAAUCUUGAGUUGCUUGAUUUGGACCGUAUUCUCAUCCCUUGCGGCCUUCUCAAAUCUGAAGUAUUUCAGUAUACAAGGCAACAACCAGAAAGGACCGGUAGUUAUUAAAGGUAAGAACUAAGAAAAGCUACCCUUUUAUGUUGGCUGAGUUGGAAUGGUUUCUGUAAUUUUUUUAGUGAACGAUUUAUAAAUUUUGAGGUCCUUUUUGAGAUAUGGGAGAUGCCCUGACCUGAAGGCUUCUCCUUUAUACUGAAUUUUGGUUUCUUUUCUAUCAAUAACUAUUAGUGAUAUAGUGGAUUUAAUUGCUUCCAUUUUUUAGUGGAAAGACGUUCCAUUGGCAACUAGUAAUUGUUGCUCCUGUAUCUAUGAAGGUAUUUAAAGAAUAUGGUUUAUAUCACUUAAAAUUAAAAUCUGCUUGAAUAUAUGUAUCAUGUAUUUUUGGCUGAUCUUUUGAAAAUGGAAUGCAUCGUCAUCAAAAUGCAUCAUCAUCAAAUUUUAUUUGACUCAUGAUUGCUGUACCUAUAUCUUUUCUUCUAGAUGUUCUAGAUGAAAUAGACCUUCUACUAAGUUCAACAAGAAAAAUUGGUAUUGAUAUAUUUUUCAUACCAAUGGGUUGAGGUUGCGGAACUAAUUGUAAGUAUAAACUUUCUGUUUCUUCGUUUCUAGAAAUGGAAGGAUUUGAUAUUGAAGAAGUUGACGGCAAUGCUAAAUUUCUAUUAUUGGUACUUCAUGCAUUUUUUAAGAUAUAGAUUAUUAUUGGAGGCCAUAAUUUUUUUUGGUUUAACAAUCUUAUGGUUAACUUUCUUUGUUACUCUUUCUAAUGGUCAUCCUAUUGGAACAGAUAGAUCUCUAAGAUUCUAAGAUUCAUCAUUUUGACUUUGAUUUCUAAUUCAAAGUAUUUUGGCUCAAAUAUUUCUAUAAGUUUACUAUCUACUUUUUUUUUUGAUAGAAGUGUGAGCAUGAUUAGUAUAUUCAUUAAUUGUUAUCUAACUAACAGCUAAAUCAUUAACACUAUCUUUUAGAUAAGAGUUUAUGGUCAUAAUUUUUAGACAUAAACAUUCCUCUAUCAAAGGAUCAUUUAUAAAAAUAACAUAGUUCGGCUUUACUUUAGAUAGUGUUUGGUAUAAGGUGAUCAUUCAAAACAUUAUGGUAAUUUACACAUGAUGAUUAUAUCAUUGUGUUUGGUAAGCACUCGGUGAUCUUACGUGAUAAUGAUCUUGGAUUACUAUGAGUGAUUAGAUCAUUACCUUUGAAAGUGAUCUAAUUCUCAUACAAAAAGAUAAAAAACUUUUACCACUGAAGUGAAAUGAUGUAAAAUAAACAAUAAUCAAUUUUACGCAUUUAAUUUGUGAAUUAAAAUUGUGUUGCUUCUCAAAAUUGUAAUUAUUUUAUAUUAUAAAUUUUUAUAUUUUCAAACUAAUAUUCAUUUAACAAGUGCAAAAUAAUUUACAUAUUUUUUUACUUAUUUUAAUAUUUUAUAUACAAUAUAAAAUUUUUAUUUUCUUUUAUUAUGAGUUUAAUAGAUUUGUUUUAUUUUCUAAUUCAAAUUUUUUUACAUAAUUUAUAUUAUAAAAAUCAAUUUACCUAUCAAUAAAUAUAUAUUAAUUUAAUAAUUUAAUUAUAUUUUAUUAUAAAAUAAAUAUUACUAAUAUUUUAUAAAUUAUUAUCUUCAACAACCAUAAAAUUAUUAUUUGUGUAACUAUUACAAUAUGCAUGGUUAUUUUUGUACCUUUAAACAAAAUAAUAUUUGAUUUUUAGUAAUAUAAAAUACAAUGAUCUUUAAUUCCUAAGAGCUAAUAAUUGUUAAUCAAACAAAAUAAUUUCAAAUCAUACGUGUUAAGAUCAUCUCGGUAAUAAGACCACUUUGGUAAUUACAUUACCAUGAUGAUCUUGUAAAAAAUAGUAAACAUUACCUUAAAUCAUACUACUCUUUAUACUAAAUUAACUUGAAUUCCACCUAUUGGAGCUUUAAUAGGAUCUUGAAAUCUUUUAUCUAAUAAAACAACAAUUAAAAUAUGUAAACACCCAAUAUGUUCGGGGUCUGUUUCUUAGUUUUGUUAAUUAAUAAAAAAUAAUAAUAAUGAAAAAAAUGAAAAAAAGGUGGUUGAAUUGGUGUAAAAUUAGGAUUGAGAAGUUUGAGAUAAACGGGAAGAGAUUGAAUAGGACUGAAAGUCUAAAGGAAAUUGGGAUUCCUAUUUAGCUUUGGAGUUUGUGAUUUUAAAGCUUAUAGAUAGAUCCAUAGAUACACAGAAAAAAAACACAUAGAAAGUAUACACAGAAAAAGAAAGAAAAGAGGGAGAAAUAGAAGCAAAGAAAGAGUGUUUAGCAAUCUUAGGAAUUUUAGAAAUUUUUUUGAAAUUUUUGGCUUUGUUUUUUUGAAAAUUGUUUGAAAAUUUUUAGAAUCCGGUGAAUUUUUUUGCGAAAAUUCAAGUUUUCCGGUGAUUGUUCGAUGAGAAACCCAAUUUCUAGUGAUAUAACCCAGAAACGAUGAUUUUCCCGAUGACAUUCAAUCAGAAACGACGAUCGAAAAUUUCCUAGAAGGAGGAGCAGAGAAGAAAGAGAGAACGCGGGGAAACAUUUAAGGAAAGAAGAAAUUUUUUCCUUUUAUACGCAAGCUAAACGACGUCGUUUUGAGUCAGCACUUAAACAUGAUCUGCGCGUUUUACCAAUAUUCGACCCGACCCGAACCAGCAACCUGCAUCUCUGCUUGGGCUCCAGCCAAGUCGAAUCGAGCCUAUUUUUCGUCGAGCUGCACCUUUGAGCCGUUUUCUGUGUCUGGAGUCGAGCCAUGCCAACCCUUCAGCCAAGCCGUUUUUUAUUUUUUUUUGGUAUUUUUUUAUGUGUUUGUUUAAUUAUUUUUUUAUUUUUUUUGGUUUUUUUAUUUAUGUGUUUGUUUAUUUUUUUUAAAGAGUAUUUUUACAUGAAUAAAUUUAAAAAAUUUAAAAUAUAAAAAUUAAAAAUAUAUAUUUUUGAAAAAAAUUGAAAGUAUUAAUUUUUCUUAAAAUAAAAUUAUAAAAAAAAUUUUAAGGAAAAGUUGAAAGUAUUAAUUUUUCUUAAAAAUAAAAUUUCUAAAAUAAAAUUUUUCAAAAGCAUUUUGAGGAAAAAUUGAAAGCAUCAAUUUUUCUUGAAAUUAAAAUUUCAGAAAAAAAUAUUUUGAGGAAAAGUUGAAAGUAUAAAUUUUUCUUAAAAAUAAAAAUUAUCAAGAAAAAUUAUUUUUAGGAAAACUUGAAAGUAUCAAUUUUUCUUGUAUAAAAGCAAUGAGUUUAUUUUUAUAUAAAACAAAAAGAAAAAAAUUUAUAUCAAAAGUCAAAUCAUUAUUUUUUUUUUUCUUUCUUUCUUUGAAAAAUUUUUAAAUGUUAAAUAAUCUGACAAUAGAACCUCUGCAAGAGACAUAGUAGUUUUCUUGCAUACUCUUAAGGUGAAAUUUUUUUUUUAAUUUUCUGUUAAAAGUAUUGGAGUUAAUUAAGGAUAAUUUUUAAUAAUUAAUUACUUGAUAAUUUUUAAGACUUAUUGGAUAACACGAAAUCGAGUUAGUAUCAUCUUUUGAUGGACGUUGUGAGGGUGCUAUAAUCUUUCUCACUCGUAAUCGAAUUCCCGAACUCUUUUUUGGUUAAUAGAUUUGAAUCUAUUCUUUUAGAGAUCCUUAAGCUUAGGUGUUCUUUGAAAAGAUAGAUUCUUUAGGUGGUCAAUCGUACCUAAAUGAAAAAGAUUAGUGAUGACUCCUCAAGUCAAUGUCUAGCGAUAGAUCCUCAGAUCUAGACAUUAUGACAGUUUGGUGACUCCACUGGAGACUGUCGAGAGUCAGAUCAGUAAAUAAAUUUGUGUUAUCCAAAAGCCUAAUAAAAUUGAACAUUUUUGUAUAUAUUUUUUUAUUCAUUCAUUUUAUUUAUUUACUUCAUUGAUUUUGUCAUUCAUAUGCAUACGCAUAACAUGAGCUCUAUACUCGAACUUCAUCCCUCUAUGAGGUAUUAAAGUACCUAUUGCUUUUGUGAGAUUUUAAUACCUCCGUAAUGGCUAGCAAAAUACUCCCACUCAAAUUGAACAUUUUCUGCUUGUAGCCUAUAAUGGGUGAGGAUUGUGGUGCCUUACUAGUCUGUAAUAGACGAUGAUGUAAGGAGCAAUUUGAGAACCUUUAGACUUUAACCUUAAACCACAUAUAGUGGAUCUUAGAAAUGCCUAACCUAUAGAUAGAGCAAUUUUUUUUUUUUAGAAUUGACCAAAAGCAUAAGAUUCAUUCUUCUUAUUAUGUGUGACAUUUUAAUUUAUUUAGUUAUUUAUUUAUUUAUUCCUCUUUAUUUGAUGUACUAACAUCUUCUCUUAUUCAUGUUUGUAUGAUCCAUACUCAUAUCAUAAAGUUGCAUAAAGAACAUUUGUCUAAAAGAUGAUUUUCAACGAGUUUUUCAUGGACUCCACAGAACGACUAGUUUGCUUUUCGUCUAUAUUAGCUCAUUGUGAGUCACCCAACAAAAUAAAGGUCCAGUCAAAAAAGAUUCAACUAAAGAAGGGGGAUUUACCAAUCGGUCAUGUUUCUACCUUGUCUCAAAAGACAUCUGUCAUCCUCAAACAAAAUAAUUUAGAAGAUCUAAUUGAUAUAUAGAAAAAUAUGAGUCCAUCAAGACAAGAGAAGUUUUGUCAGAGACAUAGGCAUAUAGCACAUUUUUUUACAGUAAAUGUUGAUAAUCAACUAAUUAGAGCUACAAUAUAAUUUUGGGAUCUUGCAUACAAAUGUUUCAUCUUCAAUGAAGUUGAUAUGAUACCAAUCAUUGAAGAAUAUUCAACUUUGUUAGGUCUACACCUCAAGACUUCUGACAAGAUAUAUGUCAAAAAACAUAAAUCAGGGUUUCGUAAGAAUUCGGCCCAUCUUAUGGGGAUAGACAAAGAGAUUGUGGAUUCUCAUGCAAAGAAAAAACAAGAACAAGCUUGCCUACCUUAGAAGUUCUUUCAUGAUUUCCUAUUGCAACAUGCCUACGAAGAACGAGGGUUAGAUGUAUUUGCCUUAGCCAUAUACGGAUUGAUGAUUUUUUAAAGGUUUUGGGUUAUAUUGAAAUAGCAGUGAUUGACUUCUUUGAAAGUGUGAUCAAUGGCUAUAACCCUUCAACGAUAAUAUUAGCAGACACUGUCAAAUUUUUGAGUUAUUAUUAUCGGAAUGGAAGAUAUCUUAUAGGCUGCAUACAAUUAUUGUACUUUUGGAUGAAAAGUCACUUCGAAUGAAGAAAAUGUGUUUUCUCGAAGCUUUAUGUCAGUAAUCAAGCUUCGAUCAAGGAAUUCUACGAAAGUGGGUGGUCAGAAUAAAAGUCUAAAAAAGAGUGGAUAGCUUUCUUACAAAAAUUGACAAGUGCUGAGGUAAGAUGGCUAGUCUCGUGGAUGAAUCAUGAACCUAUGCUAUAUUAAUGUAGAGAUAACACUGUGGUCCCACUUCUGAGUUUAUGAGGAGCAACAAGUUAUACGUCACUUUUAGUGAAAAGGUAGUUUGGGGCAGAACAGUUCAUUUUCAUGACGCAUAAGCUUCAUCAAUCAGAUUUUUCUUACAUUGAGCCAAAAGCAUUUUAAAAGAUGAAUGAGGUGAUUAAAGUAUGAAAAAACUCUCGUAGAGUGAGUCUUGAAUUGUUCACUGAUAAGGUCACUCAGGGGUACUUAGUUUGGAGAGUAAAACGAAUACAGAAAAUGGUAUUAACUUAUGAAAGCUUUUAACUGCUAACAAGAGGAAAGCUUGAAGAGACACCAUUAGAAUUGAAACUUACGACAAAAAAAUUUGAGUGCCAAAAGGAUAAGUUAAAGUAAAAAAUCCAGAAGCUUCAAAAGGAGAAGGAUUAAUGGAAAGAUAGAGCUAAAAAGCAUGAAGUCAAAGUUUACAAGAUUGCUAGGGAACGUGACACAACUGUCAAAGACUUAGCGGAGCUACACCAUGAACAUAAGAGGUUAUGUGUGAAGGUACAAACCAAAGAUAUAACAAUCACUGAGCUGAUAGAUGAAAAUGAGCGAUUGAAGCAAGAAUAUGCUGAAUUAGAGAAAGAAAAUACCCAAGUACAAACAAAAAAUAACAUGUUGAAUAGUUACUUUAGUAGAUUGAGAAAAAGGUUGAAUGAACAAGAAGACUAUAUUGCUGCAUUGGUUAGAGAGUAUAGAGAGUUAUCAUACCAAGUUUGAUGUGGUAAAAAAGAAAACCUGAGAAGACAGAAGUAUAUUGAACACUUAACAACUCAAAUUUAUAAAGGGGUAUGUAACGCAAGAGAAAUGGUAAAAGAGGCAGAGGCAUUGAAACAAGUGGUGGCCCCAGUAGGAGAACAUAGGCAACCUCUCUUGAAUUUCAUCGAAGAAGUCAAAGAUCAGUAUGAGCAGAUCAAACGAUUUUAUAGUUACAACUCUAGGAUGAUAAAUUUUAUGUAAAUGAAAGUUCUUUAAAUAAAUAAAAUCUUUUGGUUGAACACUGUCUUAAGGCAAAUGUUCUUUUCAUGCAUGCAUUUUCAUUCAUUAUAUUCAACAAAAUAACCAUGAGAUAGUUGUAUAAACUUGCUAAUUUUAAGAUAUGAUAUUCAAGGUUAAGAAUGAGUAUGAGGAAAAGAUUGAGAAUGAGUUGAGUAGGAUUUUGGAUGCUCUCAACAAGUUAAAUAAGAAAAAAAAGGAUAGAAGAGAACACAAGCCAACAGGAUCCUCCAUCACAAGAAGUGGUCGACCCUCUAUCUCCUUCAGGUUUUGGUCUACAAUAAGCUCAGUCCACAUAUGAUAUACCGUCACAGCAGUUCACAUAUCCUGUAUAUCUUGAAAUGUCAUCAACUUUAAACUCAGGACAUUACCAUAGCUAUGUAAAUUCGAUCUUUACUGAAAAGGCAAUAGAACCAAUCCAAGUUCCUGAUUUAGAUGACUUGAAAGAAAAAGAGAAAGAAAAGAUAAAGGUGGUGGAAUCUCAAGAAGAUUCGAAGAUUAGUAUGCUUGAACAAAGGUUACGGGCUGUGGAAGGAAUUAGGUUUUAUGGUUCUGUCGAUGCUACUGGGUUUUGCUUAGUCUCAGAUGUGGUUAUUUCACCAAAGUUUAAAGUACCAAAAUUUGAGAAAUAUCAUGGUACAAAGUACCCAAAGACUCAUAUCACCAUGUACUGUCGGAAGAUGACAGCCUAUGCCUAUAAUGAAAAACUAUUAAUACAUAUUUUUUAAGAUAAUCUAACGGGCUCCGCUACUAGGUGGUAUGUUCAGCUAGACAGAACUUGCAUCCGUUCAUGGGAUGAUAUGGCCCAUGAUUUUAUCAGUCAAUAUCAACAUAUUAUGGAUCUGGCUUAUGAUCAUUUGUCCUUACAGAACUUAGAGAAAAACACAAAUGACUCUUUCAAGAAAUACGCCCAGAAGUGGAGGGAUGUAGCUUUUCAAAUACAAUCUCCUUUAACUGAAAAGAAAAUUAUAGUGUUGUUCGUUAGUACUCUGAAAUCUCUCUUGUAUGAAAAGAUGAUAGGAAAUGCAAUCAAAAAUUUUAUCGACAUGGUGAUUUCAGAAGAAAUUAUUGAGAGUGCCAUCAAGAAUGGUAAGUUAAAAGGAGGGGAGGCAUUUACGAAAAGAGCACCAAAGAAGAAUAAGACUGAAGCUCAAGCUGUGAGCUUUGAUAGGCAACAAUUCAGGGGUUAUCAACCCUACCCACCAUAAGGAUACCUUCCAUACUAUCCUGUUGUAAAAAAUGCCUCAUCCUACCCAUACCAGUUAGCUCCACAACCACUUUAUUCAUCCAUAUACCAGCCUAUUUUUAGCCUCCAAUCUCUCACAUACAACCUUAACAUUCAAACUCCUGUAAGACCCCAAAUUCGUCCUGUUAGCCUGGUAAGUGGUUCACUAGAGCAACAAAUUGCUCGAGAAAAACUCAUAUUUAAUCUAAUUUUCAUGACUUAUAUAGAGUUAUAUUGAGAGCUUUAUAACAGCCACUUGAUUGCCUCUAACCGUGUGGAGCUGCUCUAAGCCACCCUAUUCUAAGUAGUAUGAUCUUACAACUCACUGUGACUACCACUAUAAAAUUGCUGACCAUUCCACUGAAAAAUUGUAUUACUCUAAAGCAUAAGGUGCACGGUUAAUCAAGAAUGAAAUGGUAAGUUUUGAUCAAAGAAGAGCAAUAACACCUAAUGUUAGUGGUAAUCCAUUGCCUAAUCACAAUGUUAACGCUUUGAAUGAGAAUCAAGAACACGUUAAUUCAAAAAGGCAUGAAGAGCUACAAUGAAUCAAGGGCAAGAUGCUAAUAAAGAUCUUUCACUUGAUUGCAUAGGGACACAAUUUUAGAGAAUGAAGAUAAGGCUGGUUAAAAGUUUCUUGUCAUUUUAGGAUUUUUUCUAGAGUAAUGUUAGAAUUUCUUUUAUGCAAUAGGAUUUCAUUUGUUAUCAUUUUAAUAAAAGGUAAGUUAAUGCAUUUCAUUAUAUUUUCUCUUUCAUUCAACCAUUAUUCCAUACUUUGCUACCUUUCAUAACUUUUAUUCCCAUUAUUGAAUUCUAAAUGAUGAAUGUUUAAUAAUGAUAUCAAUAAUUUUGAGAUUUAAUUUUGAGUACUCAUUCACAUUAAUCUAUGGAGAUUAUUUAAGCAAAAAAAGUCAGCUGCUAGCAGAUAUGAAAUAGAUAUAUCUUAAAGAUAUAUAGUUUGUUAUAAAGAUCCAUAAGCUUAUUUUUAUUUAAUGGAUGAUCUUCAAGAAAAGCAUUCACAUUUGAGAGAAAAAAUAGUCAUCUUUCUUUUACCAUUUGAAAAAUCAUUCAUUGCUACCUCUUUGAGCUUAUUAUGAUUUUUUUUUUAAAAAAAUCUUAAACAAGGAUCACUCUUUACACUGGGGGUAUUUUUUUUAUUUAAAAAAAAAAGACAAAAGAUCGUAAAAGGUCUCAAAGAGAGAAAGAAAAGCAAAAUGAAGGAAAGAGAAAAAAAAUGAAUGCCACACAUGAUUUAGGAUAAAGUAAUGAUAAUUUUUUUGUAAAGAAUGAGAUGGAAAAGAAAAAAGUAGUGAAGUGAUGUCAAGCUGCAUCAAAUGAGGAUCCUUUGAUUUUAAACCUUUUAAACAGGUUUUGAGCUUAUUUUUAUCCAUUUCUUUCAUGACCUCUCACCAUGGCCUAUAUUAUAACUUUUAAAAGUUCAUUUGGAUCAAAUGUGAAUGUUCGAAUUGAAUGGUCAUAUGUUGGGCUAAGGCAUGCUCAUGAUGGAACUACGGAAUCAUGCUUGGUUACUCUAAAGAUUGAUGUAAAAGAGAUAUCAAUAAUGGGUGAAAAAAAAUAAAAAAAAAGAAAAAAUGGAAAGAAGAGAAAAUGGAGACCCGAAAGGGCGAUUUGAGUAGAAAAACCUUAGUUGAGAGUUGAACAAACGAUUCACAUGGAUGAAAUACUAAAGACAUAUGAAGAUCCCUCAAAGCUGGGGCGAAGUUUGAUAAGCUCAAAAUGAUUUCGAUAGUCAAUUGAAUGAGUUUUUGAAAAAAAAUCAUGAAUUAAUGUUCAGAAUUGUCUGGAUAUUCAUUGUUUGGAUAUACCAUUCAUUCCAAUGACAUGUAUCCAAUUUGCUUAUUCCUUAUUCAUUUUGCACCAAACCUGUCUUUCAUUGAUUACCUUUCUCUCAAAUCACCCCGUGUUCCCUUAUUGUUACAUCCUUAGAAUAAAUAAAAAAAUAUAUAAGUGCAUUAUAUUUGUCAUGAUUUGAAAUGAUGAUGAAUAAAUGAUAAUGUGCUUAAAAGAUUUUUGUAUUCCUUUGAGAAGAAAUCCAGAAUGAUAAGAUGAAUUAAGAAGACACAUGGUGUGACCAAAUGGGGAAUAUGAUGAUGGAUUGAUCAACAAAAUGAAGAUGAGGUAAAUUUUUUUUUUAAAAAAAGUGAUAUGUCCAAGUAAUGAAUAUGGGGAUGAAUUGAUCGACAUAACCUGUGAGUUGUGAUGAAAAAGUAUAGGACAAUGAGUAAAACUUGUGCUGAAAAGCCCAUGAAUAAUGAUUAAGUGAUAAUGAUGAAAUUUGCUCUGAAAUAUUGAUAAGCCCAUGAACGAUGAUCAAGUGAUGAAAGAUAAAAUUUGUAUUAAGAAGCUUAUGAGCGAUGACCAAGUGAUAGAAGAUAAAAUUUAUUCUAAGAUGGCUAGUGCUAAGAAGCUCAAAAUGAUGGAGUCUUAACAGUCAUAUUACCACAGUUAUUUAGGAUUUCAUGACAUUAUUGACGUCCGCAUUACAUGCAUCAUGUAAGCAUCAUUGUUUAAAUAGUACAUGCACAUAAUUUGAUAAAUUAAAACUUUGUUUGGACAUGCAUGGCAUUGUGAGAAUUUAGGUUGUUGCAUUUGCAUCAUUAAGAAGGCAUUUGCAUUUUUUAUCAUGACAUUUAUUGUAUGCAUAAUUUUGAGUCACUUGAAAAAGAAAUUGGGAAUCUUUUGAAUUUUUGAGUUCUCAAAUGAGAAUAUUUGAAUUUCAAAUAAGAAUUUUGAGGUGUGAAACCUAAAAUUUAUCGAAUGUGAAUCUUCGAACUUAAAUGAAAAUCUUUAAGUUUCGAAUGAGAAUUUUUAUAGUGUGAAACCCUAAAAUUUGUCAAAUGUGAGCCUUUAGACUCGAAUGAGAAGCUUUGAAAUUUUUGGAUGUGAAUCUCCAAAAUUCAAAUGAGAGUCUUUAAAUGUUGGAUGCGAAUCUUGUAAUUUACAAAUACGAAUCUUGAGAUUUUGCAAAUUUGAAUCCUUAUGAAACUGAAAUUUUGAUAAUCAAAUUUCAGUGAAUUCUUACAAAGUUGAAAGGUUAUUGCGAAUUUGAAUCUUUGACUUUCAAACUUAAAUUGUGAAUCUUUGAGUUUUUCAUUUCAAAUUUCAUCAGAUCUGAUUUAUGACUCUGCUAGACAUGAUCGUCAAGGAGCAAUUUAUUUUUCAAAGUUGUGGCGCCUCUAUUUAGAUGAGCAAUUUAUUUUUCAAAAUUAUGGUAUCUCUGUUUAGAGGAGUAGUUUAUUUUUCAAAAGUUGUGGUCCCUCUGUUUAGAGGAGCAUUUUAUUUUUCAAAGUUGUGGUUAACUCUAUUUAGAGGAGCAUUUUAUUUUUCAAAAUUGUGGUUGCCUCUAUUUAGAGGAUAAUUUUAUUUUUCAAAGUUGUGGUGCCUCUGUUUAUAAGAGCUUUAUUUAUUUUUUUAAAGUUGUUGAGCCUCUUAUUAGAAAAUCUUUGUUCAUUUUUCAAAAGUCGUUGAGCUUUUGUUUAGAGGAGCUUUGUUUAUUUUUCAAAAGUUGUUGAGCCUCUAUUUAGAAGAGUUUUGUUCACUCUAAAAAAAAAAAGAAAGGGGUUGUGAACCUCUGCUUAGGGUGUUUCAAGUGUUAAAAAAAAGGGAAUGUGUUGGCAUAAGUGAGGUGUCUAAAUCUUUGUACAAUUUUUGUUGCAUAGAAAAUACGCAAAGAGGGGCAACUGUAGACACCUAAUAUGUCCGAGGUCUAUUUUUUGGUUUUGUUAAUUAAUUAAAAAUUAAUAAAAAUGAAAAAAUAGAAAAAAAUGGUUGAAUUAGUGUAAAACUUGGAUUGAAGAGUUUGAGAUAAACUAAAAGAGAUUGAACAAGACUGAAAGUCCAAAGAAAAUUGGGAUUCCUAUUUAGCUUUGGAGUCUGUGGUUUUAAAGCUUAUAAAUAGAUCCAUAGAUACAUAAAAAAAAAAAACAUAGAAAGUAUACAUAGAAAAAGAAAGAAAAGAGGGAGAAACAUAAGCAAAGAAAGAGUGUUUAGCAAUCUUAAGAAUUUAAAAAAAUUUUGGCUUUGUUUUUCUGGAACUUUUCUGAAAUUUUUCAAAAUUCGAUGAAUUUUCUGGUGAAAAAUCAAGUUUUUCGGUGAUUGUUCUGCAAGAAACCUAGUUUUUGGCGAUAUAACCCAGAAAUUGAUGAUUUUUUUGACAACAUUCAACCUGGAAUGACGGUCAAAAAUCACCUGGAGAGAGAAAGAGCAGAGAAGGGAGAGAGAACGUAGGGAAACAUUUGAAAAGAGAAGAAAAUUUUUCCUUUUAUACGUAAGCUAAACGACGUCAUUUUGAAUCAGCAUUUAAACAGGAUCCGCACGUUUUGCUAAGAUUCGACCCGACUCGUAACGCGACUCGAACCAGCAACUAGCAUCCCUGCCUGGGCUCUAGUCGAGCUGAAUCGAUUUCUCGUUAAGCCGCACCUUUGAGCCAUUUUCUGUGUCUGGAGCCGAAUCGUACCAACCCUCCAGUCGAGCCGUUUUCAAUUUUUUUGUUUUAUUUUUUAUGUGUUUGUUUAUUUAUUUUUUUGGUUUUUUUAUUUAUGUGUUUGUUUAUUUUUUUAAACAGUUUUUUUGCAUGAAUAAAUUAAAAAAAUUAAAAAUAUAAAAAUUAAAAAAAUAUUUUUGAGAAAAAAUUAGAAAUACUAAUUUGUUUUAAAAUAAAAUUAUAAAAAAAAUAUUUUAAGGAAAAGUUAAAAGUAUCAAUUUUUCUUAAAAAUAAAAUUUCUAAAAUAAAAUUUUUCGAAAGCAUUUUGAGAAAAAGUUGAAAGUAUCAAUUUUUCUUGAAAUUAAAAUUUCAAAAAAAAAAAACAUUUUGAAGAAAAGUUAGAAGUAUCAAUUUUUUUAAAAAAUAAAAAUUAUUAAGAAAAAUUUUUUUUAAAAAAAGUUGAAAGUAUCAAUUUUGUUUUGUAUAAAAGCAAUGAGUUUAUUUUUAUAUAAAACAAAAAGAAAAAGAUUUAUAUCAAAAAUUGAAUCAUUAUUUUUUUUCUUUCUUUCUUUGGAAAAUUUUUUAAUGUUAAAUAAUCCAACGAUGAAGCCUCUGCAAGAGAAACAGUAGUUUUCUUGUAUACUCUUAAGGUGAGGAAAUUUUCUUAAUUUUUUAUCAAAAGUAUUGGAGGUAAUUAAAGAUAAUUUCUAAUAAUUAAUUACUUGAUAAUUUUUAAGGCUUAUUGGAUAACACGAAAUCGAGCUGGUACCAUCUUUCGAUGGGCGUUGUGAGGGUGCUAUAACCUUCCUCACUCAUAAGCGAACUCUCGAAUUCUGUUUUGGUUAAUAGGUCCGAACCUAUUUUUUUAGCGACCCUUAAGCUUAGGUGUUCCUUGAAAUGAUAGAUUUUUUAGGUGGCUUAUUGCACCUAAACAAAAAAGAUUGGUGGUGACUUCUCAAGUCAAUGUCUAACGAUAGAUCUCCAGAUCUAGACGUUAUGACAAAACAAUUAAAACAAGAUAGAAACAAAGAAUGAAAGAUAAAAGGAUAGAUACAAGAAAAGAGAAAGGAAUGAGAGAGUUGUGAGGAAUGAUAGAGUUGAGAGGACUAAUGCCUCUUUUUUACAAGAAAAACUAUAUUUAUAGACAAUUUUUUUUUAUAGCUGCUUGCAUCAUAUCCUUUCUAAUCUCUUUAGAAUUUGCUUUUUACAUCUUUAUUUACUAUUGCUUGCAAGAAGCUUUUCGUUUCUAAUAACUAACAUUUUCUUUCUACUUUUUAUAGUUUAGCCACACGCUUCUUAUCUUUAGAGAAUUUGUUUUCCAAAAAAGAUCUAGUUUGUCUAGCUCAUAAAUGGUCCUGUUUGUCAAGUCUUUUCAUCAUUCUUGAAUGUUAUCCAAGUUUAAGCCUUCUCCAUCUCAUGGUUAAAAGAUGCUGGAGAGUUAGUGGCUAUUUUAUUUGUCAUAACGUCUAGAUCCGAGGAUCUAUCGCUAGACAUUGACUUUUAGGGAGUCGCCAUCAAUCUUUUUUAUCUAGGUGCGAUUGGCCACCUAAAGAAUCUGUCCUUUCAGGGAACACCUAAGUUUAAGGGUCCCUAAAAGAAUAGGUUCAGAUCUACAAACCAGAACAAGGUUCGGGAGUUCGGUUACGUGUGAGAAAGGUUAUAGCACCCUCACAACGCCCAUCAAAAGAUGGUACCAGCUUAAAUUUUUGUUAUCCAAAAGCCUUAAAAUUUUACCAAGUAAUUAAUUAUUGAAAAUUAUUCUCAAUUGACUCUAAUACUUUUAGCAAAAAAUUAAGAAAAUUCCCUCACCUCAGAGUAUGCAACAAAAACUACUGUUUCACUUGCAGAGGCUCCGUCGUCGGAUUAGUUAAAGAAAAAUCAAAAUAAAAAAUCAAAAUAGAAAGGAAUGAAAGAAUGAUUUUUUUUUUAGGGAAAAUUGAUACUUUCAACUUUCCCCACAAACAUUUUUUUUUGAAAAUUUAUUUUAAGAAAAAUUGAUACUUUCAACUUUUUCUCAAAAAUAUUUUUUUGGAAAUUUAUUUUUAAGGAAAAUUGAUACUUUCAACUUUUUCUCAAAAAUAUUUUUUUUGAAACUUUGAUUUCCAAGGAAAAUUGAUACUUUCAACUUUUUCCUAAAAAUAUUUUUCGAAAAUUUUGAUUUUCAAGGAAAAUUGAUACUUUCAAUUUUUCCCUAAAAAUAUUUUUUUUUGGAAAUUUUGAUUUUUAUUUAAAGAAAAUAGAAUAAUAAAAUAAAAAAAAUGAAAGUUAAAAAUAAAAAUAAAAAUAAAAUAAAGAUAAAAAGAAUAUUAAAUAAACCUAAUCUAAUAAAUAAAUAAAAUAAAAAACAAAUAAACAAAUAAAUGAAAAAAAAAAACCUGGAGCGGCUCGGAUCGAGGCUCGGCUCGGCUCGACUCAAAGAAGAGAAAACGACUAGGGAGAGCGGCUUGAAAGCUCGGCUCGGCUCGGCUCGGCUCAGCUUGGAGGAGGGGUAGCACGCGCGGAUCCUCUGGUUACUUAAGGCCAAAACGACGUCAUUUUGGGAGGGUAUAAAAGGCAAUCCCCUUCGUUUUUCGACAGAACGCUCCUCCCUUCUCUCUCUCUUCUUCCCUUUUCCUCUCUCUUCUCUCUAAAAGCUGAAGAACACCGGUGCCGAAUUCUGGAAAAUGUCACCGAAAUCUGGAAAUUUCACCGGAAGUUGGUCGAAAUAUCAUCGAUUUCUGGGAUUCUUCACCGAAAACUGGGUAGGUCGCUGGAAACUUCAAUGUUCGCCGAAAUUAUUGUCGAAAAAUUUAAAUUUCGUCAGAAUUUUCGCCGGAAUCUGGAAAUUUCGCAGAAAAAUUUUUCGCCAAAAAUUUCUAAAAAGUUUUUCUCACUCCCAGAACGCUCCUAAACUUUUCCUAGCUUCCUAUACGCCUCUUUUUCUCUCAAAUCAGUAGCUUUGCUUACUAUUUUCUCUCUUUUUUUUGAAUGUACCAAUCUGUUCCAGAGGGGGUCCCUUUUAUAGGGAUUGAUCAGGAGUUUCUGAUCAAUCCCAAUUCCUCUUUGGAUGGGGAUUCAAUCUCUGAAUCCAAUUGGACUCUUUUGAUUGAAUCCCCAUUCCUAGUAGGAUUCUUCAUCUUUUAAUCCCAGCCAUCCAAAAAAGAAAAAAAAAAAAAUAAUAGUAAAAAUAUCAGAUACGGAUCAAGAAAAGAGAGAAAAAAAGAUUAUUAACAGAUAAUUAGGGACACAAUAAGAUAAACCAACCAAAAAAAAAUAUUACAAGAAAAAAAAAGAAAAUAAUUAUAAUAUAAUAAUAAAUAUAUAAUUAUAUAAAUAUAAUACAUAUAAAUAUUAACAGAGAAAUAAAUAAAUAAAUAAAUAAAUAAAUAAAGAUAUACAUAUAUUAAUAUAUAAUAAUAAUAAUGAAUAAUAAAAUAUGUAAAAUACAAAAGAAAAAAAAAUACAGGAUAAAAUUGAAUUGGGCCUUACCCUUUUGGGCCAGGCCUAAUUGAUCUGGGCCUGGACCUAAUUGGGUGUCUACAACUGUCCCUCUUUGCACAUUUUUUGUGAAACAAAAAUUGUGCAAAGACGUAGACACCCAAUCAAGACUCAACUCAACAUUGUCAUUUUUGUUUUUUUUUGUUUUUUCGUGUUUUUUUUUGGUUUUUUUUGUUUUGCUUUUUGUUCUUUUUUUUGUUUUUUUUUUAUUUUUUUGUUUUUUUUUUUUACCAAAGCUCCUCUAAACAGAGGCUCAACGACUUUGAGAAACAUAAAUUGCUCCUCUAAAUAGAGGCACCACGACUUGAAAAAAUAAAUUGCUCCUCUAAACAGAGGCACCACGACUUUGAAAAGUAAAUUGCUCCUCUAAACAGAGGCACCACGACUUUGAAAAUUAAAUUGCUCUGUGCUCCUCUAAACAGAGGCACCACGACUUUGAAAAUUAAAUUGCUCCUCUAAACAGAGGCACCACGACUUUUGAAAAGUAAAUUGCUCCUCUAAACAGAGGCACCACGACUUUGGAAAGUAAAUUGCUCCUCUAAACAGAGGCAACGGAACUUUGAAAAAAUAAAUUGCUCCUCUAAACAGAGGCACCACGACUUUGAAAAGUAAAUUGCUCCUCUAAACAGAGGCAACGAAACUUUGAAAAAAUAAAUUGCUCCUCUAAACAGAGGCACCACGACUUUGGAAAGUAAAUUACUCCUCUAAACAGAGGCAUCACGACUUUUGAAAAGUAAAUUGCUCCUCUAAACAGAGGCACCACGACUUUGAAAAGUAAACUGCUCUUUGACAAUCAUGUCCAAAGGAGUUGAGAAUUGUGUUUGAAGGAAUUUCAGGAGAUUAUGCCCAAAGGUCUUAUAAAUCGAUCCUGAUACCAAAAGACAUCCUAUUUCAAGGAUUAGGAACUUACCUGACAAGUUUCUUCUCCAUCUUGCAAAAUAUCUUCAUAUUUGUCUUCUCCAUAUAGGAUGUUGAAACACCCCUGCUUCUUGAAUUUAUACACUAUACUUUCCUGAAAAUAGUGUAUGCUAUGCAAUGUGCAUGAUUUUCAAUGCAUGCUAUGCAAAUGUUGGCCAAUUAAUUCCUGUUCAAUGUAUGGUACUCAAGUUUCUCAAGCUCUUUUUUUCUUUCUUGGGUGUCAAGCCCUUUGAUUCCUCAAGGAUCCAAUUGUACUGCUCUUCUAAGAUCAAACCAGUGUAGCUUUCAAUUGUCCUUUCCACUCACAUUCUUUCCUUGUUCAGUUUCUCAAUACUUUGGAAUAAGCUUCAUCAAUCGAUCAUCCCUUGACCAUCAUUCAAUGAAUUUCUCAGCACUAGCAAAUUUCAAAACAAAUUUCAUCCACCAUCACUGGGUCCUUGUCUCAGCAUCAACCAUUCCAAAACAAACUCUGUCCACUGAUUGUUCAAUCAUAACUUGCAAGUCAUAUCGACCAAUUCAUCUUUGUACUCAUCACUUUUCAAGAUUUGCCCCAUUAUAUUUUUCAUUUGAUCACAUCAUAUAUCCUUCCAAAUCAUCUCUUUUAGGUCUCUACCAUUUUGUCAACACCAUCAUCUUAGAUUUCUUUUCAAAUGAAUACAAGACUCUUUUAAGCACAUAUUCAUUCAUUCAUUAUCAUUUCAAAUCUUGACAAGUACAAUGCAAUCAAGCAUUUUCUCAAUUCAUUCUAAGGGUGUAACAAUAAGAGAACAGAAGGUGAACUAUGACAAAAAUAAUCAAUGAAGAUCUAUUUUGGUACAGAAUAAAUGGGAAAAGAAAUGUCAUUGGGAUGGAUGGUAUGUCUAAAUGAUGAAUAUUCAGACAAUUUUUAACAUUAAUCUGGGAUUCUUUUUCAAAAACUCAUUCCAUUUACUGUUGAAGUCAACUUGAGCUUGGCGAACUUUGCCCUAGUCUUUGAGGGAUCUUUAGAUGUCUUUGAUCUUCCAUUCAUGUGAGCCAUUUGACCUGAAUCUUUUUCUAUCAACCUUUUGAAUCUCUUUUUUAUUUUUUCAUUUUCUCAUUUUUUCUCAUUUUUUUUCUCUUUUCUCAUUUUUCAUCCAUUGUUGAUAUCUUUCAUGUAGCAUGAUUCCAUUGCUUCAUCAUGAGCAUGUUUUUGCUCAACCUAUGAUCAUUCAAGUUGAGUAUUCACAUUUGAUCCAAAUGGACUUUUCAAGGUUGUAAUGUAGGCCAAGGUGAAGGGUCAUAAAAAAAGGAUAUAAUAGGCUCAAAACAUGUAUUAAAAAGGUUCAAAAUCGAAGGAUCAUUUGAUGCAGCUUGACAUUUUGCCCCCACAUCAUUUCACUACUUUUUUCUUUCUUCACACAAAGGAUUCUCAUUACUUUGCCCUAAGUCAUGUGUGGCAUUUUUUUUAUUUUUUUUCCUUUUUUUUUCUUGAGACCUUUUGUGAAAAAAAAAAUUUUUUUUUCAAAAAUUGCCUCCUAGUGUAGAGGGUGAUCCUUGGUUAGGGUUCUUCAGAAAAAAAAAAUCAUAACAGGCUCAAAGGGGUAGCAAUAAAUGGUUUUUCGAAUGGUAAAAGAAAGAUGGCCAUUUUUCAUCUCAAUUGUGAAUACCUUUCUUAAACAUCAUCUAUUGAACAAAGCUCAUGAAUCUGUAUAAAAGAUUGCACAUCUUCAAGACAUAUCUAUUUCACCUCCGAUAACAGCUUAUUUUUUGCUCAAAUCAUCUUCUCAUAUUAAUGUGGAUGGGUUCUUAAAAUUAAAUCUCAGAAUUAAAAUUUAAGAAUGAGAAUGUGAAGUUAUGGAAGGUAACAGGGCAUGGAAUAAUGGUCAAGUGAAAGAAAAAAAUGUAAUGAAAUACAUUGACUUACCUUUAUUAAGAUGAUAACAAGUGAAGUGAUAUUGUAGAAAAGAAAUCCUAACAUUACUUGAAAAGAAAUCUUAAAAUGAUAAAAAAACUUCAACCAGCCUUAUCUCUAUUCUAAAAAAUUAUCCCCCUAUAUGAUCAAGUGAAAAAUCUCUAUUGACAUCUUGCCCCUCAAUUCAUUGUGACUCUCCGGACCCUUUCUGUUCUUGACUUUCACUCAGAGUGCUAACAUUAGAUGUUGUUGCUUUUCCUUGAUCAAAACUUACCAUUCCAUCAUUGAUCAACCGUUGCACCUUAUAUUUUAAAGCAGUACAAUUUUCAGUAGAAUGGACAGUAAUUCCAUAGUGGUAGUUGCAGUGAGCUGUAGGAUCAUACCACUUUGGAUAGGGUGGUUUAAGCGGUUUCACAUGGCUGGGGGCAAUCAAAUGGCUAUUAUAGAGUUCUCGAUAUAACUCUGUAUAAGUCAUAAGAAUUUGAUUAAAUACAAGUUUUUCUCGAGUAGUCCAUUGUUCUCGUGAGCCACUUGCUGGGUUAAUAGGGCGAAUUUGGGUUCUUACAGGAGCUUGAAUGUUGAGGCGGUAAGUGGAUGAAUAAGAUGGUUGUGAAGCUAGCUGGUAUGGGUAGGAUAAGGUAUUAUUCACAGCAGGAUAGUAUGGAGAGUAACCUUGGGAUAGAUAGGGUUGAUAACCCCUGAAUUGUUGUCUAUCAAAGCUCACAGCUUGAGCUUCAGUUUUUUUUUUUUUUUUUAUGUCUUUCUUUGGUUUUUCUCCUCCUUUCUCAACCUUCCCAUUUUUAUGGCACCUUCAGAUAAUUUCUCCAGAGAUACCAUAUCAACAAAAUUCUUUUGAUUCCCUAUCAUUUUUUCAUAAUAGGGAAGCUUAAAGUGCUAACAAACAACACUGUGGUCUCUUUCUCUGUCGAGUGGAGUUGUACCUGGAAGCAUAUCCCUCCAUCUCUGGGCAUUACCUCUUUAAAAGACUCGUCUGAAUUUUUCUCCAAGAUUUUGCAAAGACAAACGAUCAGGAGCCAAAUCAAGAAUGUUCGAUAUUGGGCUGAUGAAAGUCAUGAGCCAUAUCGCUCCAGCGAGCGAAUGUGGUUCGUAUCCAAACUGAACCAUACCAACUGCAGCAGAAUCAUAAGGACUAUCCUGGAAAGACAUGCAUCAAGAAUUUUUCAUCAUGUGUAUGAGUUGCCAUCUUCCUGCAAUACAUGGUGAUGUGGGUUUUAGGGCACUUUAUACCGUCAUAUUUUUUAAAUUUCGGUACUUUAAACUUAUAGGGGAUAACCACAUCAGGAACUAGGCAGAGCCCAGCAGCAUCAACUGACCCAUAAAAGCUAAAUCCUUCUACAGCCUGUAGCCUCUGCUCUAGCAUGCUAAUCUUGAAACUUUCCUCAGCCUCUACUCUCAUCUUUUCCUUCUUCUUCUCUUUAAAUCAUCUAGAUCAAAAAUUUAUUCUACUACUUUUUCAGUGAAUACAGGAUUUAUAUAGCUAUUAUACUGCCCUGGGUUGAAAGCUGAUGGCAUUCCAGGAUAGGCGAAAUGUUGUGCCGGGACCUCUUAGGCAGACUGGGCUUGAAGUGGGCCAAAACUUGGAGGGUACAAGGGGUCAGCUAUUUCUUGUAAUGGGGGAAUUUGCUGGCUUGUACUUCCUUCAACUCCUUUUCCUUUAUUCAGGUUAUUAAGAGCCUCCAAAAUCUUGCUUAGCUCACCCUCAAUCUUCUUCUGGCUUUUUUUAUCUUUUCAAAUCUUUGGGAAUUUUUCUGCUCUAUUUGCCUUACUCUGAAUCUUGUGUUGAAUCGAUAGGCAGGAUUUUCGCUAGACGGAGUUAUCUUGGAACCUUGAGUACCAUAUCUUAGAAUCAGUAAAUUAACAUGAUCAUCACAUGGUUAUUUUGUAAGUGUAAUGAAUGAGAAUGCAAUGAAUGAGAAUGUAAUGAAUGAGAAAUGCAUGUAUGCAAAAAACAUUUGCCUCAAAACAGUAUUCAACUAAAAAAUUUCAUUUAUUCCAAAAAAUUUUGAUCUACAUUGAAUUUAUCAUCCUAGAAUUAUAGCCAUAAAAUUGUUUGAUCUGUUCAUACUGGGCCUUGGCUUCUUCUAUGAAGUUUAAGAGACGCUGUCCAUGUUCUCUUACUGGGGCCACCACUUGUCUUAAUGCCUCUGCCUUUUCUACCAUCUCUCUUCCCUUACGCACCCUUUUAUGAAUUUGGGUUGUUAAGUGCUCAAUGUAUUUCUGCCUCCCUAGGUUCUCUCUUUUACCACACCAGACUUGGUAUGAUAAUUCUCUAUGUUCUCUAACCAAUGCAGCAAUGUGGUCUCCUUGUUCAUCCAACCUUUGACUUAGCCCGCUCAAAUAACUGUUUAGCAUGUUAAUUUCUGCCUAUGCUUUAGUACUUUCUUUUUCCAACUCGACAUACUCUUGUUUCAAUCUUGUGUUUUCUUCAGUCAGCUCGACAAUGGUUAUCUCUUUGGCCCUUUCUCUCACACGUAGCCUCUUAUGCUCAUGGUGUAACCUUGCUAGAUCUUCAGUAGCUGUAUCUCGUUCUCUAACAAUCUUAUGAACUUUAACUUCAUAAUUUUCAGCUCUACCUUUCCACUGGGCUUUUUCUUCUUGAAGUUCUUGAAUCUCUUUCUUUAACUUGAUCUUUUUAAACUCAAAUUCUUUUGUUGCCAGCUCUAACUCUGAUGGUAUCUCUUCAAGCUUUUCUACUGUCGGUGGUUGAGAGACUUCAUAAGUGAAUACCAUUUCUUGUCUUCUCUUUGUUCUCCAAACCAAGUAACCUGGAGUGACUUUUUCAGUGAAUGGUCCAGGACUCACUCUUUGGGAAUUUUUUCAUGCUUUGAUCAUCCCAUUCAUCCUUUGAAAUGCUUUAGGCUCACUGUAAGAGAAAUCUAACUGAUGAAGCCCAUAAGUCAUAGGAAUAAACUGUUCUCCCCCCAAUUGUCUUCUCACUAAGAGCGGUGCAUAAUUUGUCACUUCUCAUAAACCCAGAAGUGGAACCACUGUACUAUCUCCACAUUGGUAUAACAUAGGCUUUCGAUUCAUCCAUGGGGCUAACCAUCUCACCCUAGCACCUUCCAACUUUUGCAAGAAAGUUAUCCAUUCUUGUUUAGACUUCUGCUUUGACCACCCACUUUCGUAGAACUCUUUGAUCAGAAAGUGAUUACGGAUAUAAAUCUUUGAGAAAGCACCAUUUCCUUGUUCAAAAUGGCUUUUCAUCCACACGUACAAUAGUUGUAUGCAUCCUAUGAAGCGCCCUCUAUUCCGACAACAAUAACUCAAAGAUCUGAUAGUCUCUGCUAAUAUUACCGUUGAAGGAUUACAUCCAUUGAUCACACUUUCAAAGAAAUCAACCACCGCUAUCUCAAUAUGUCCCAAAACUUUUGGAAAGAUCACCAGUCCAUAUAUAGCCAAGGCAAAUAUGUCUAACCCCCGUUCUUCAUUGACGUGUUGCAUCAAAAACUCAUGAAAGAACUUUCAAGGUAGGCAAACCUGUUCUUGUUUCUUCUUUGUAUGAGAAUCCACAACUUCCUUGUCUAUCCCCAUGAGUUACGCCAGACUUUUACGAAAUCCUGACUUAUAUUUUUUUACAUAUGUCAGGAGUCUUUAGAUGCAGACCCAAUAAGAUCGAAUAUUCUUCUAUGGUGGGAGUCAUAUCAGCUUCGUUAAAGAUGAAACACUUGUAUGCAGGAUCUCAGAACUGUGUUGCAGCUCUAAUUAGUUGAUCAUCAACAGCCACUGUUAGAAGGUGUGCUAUAUGCCUAUGCUUCUGACAAAAUUACCCUUGUCUUGACGGACUCAUCUUUUUCCAGAUGUCCACUAAAUCUUCUAAAUUGUUCUGUUUGAGGAGGAUGGAUGUUUCUUGAGACAAAGUAGACUCAUACCCAAUUGGCAAGCAAUCUCCCAUCUUUAGUUGAGUUUUUUCUGAUAGGGCCCUUACUUCAUUAGGUGUCCCACAGGGUGCUAACACUGAUGAAGAGCAAACUAGGCGUUCAUUGGUGUCCAUGAAAAAAAUUUGUUGAAGACCGUUUUUCAAGCAAAUGUUCUUUUAUGCAACUUUAUGAUAUGCGUAUGAACCAAUGCAAAAGAAAUAAGAAAAAGGUUAGUAUACCAGAAAAGAACAAAUAACUAAGUAAUUUUACACAUCACACAAGUAAAAGGGAUGAAUCCUAUGCUUUUGGUCAAUUCUAAAAGGGAAGAGUGAUGGCUCUAUCUAUAGGUUAGGCAUUCUUAAAGUUCACUACAUGCGGUUUUAAGGUCAGAGUCUAAAGGUUCUCAAAUUGUUCCUUACAUCCUUGUCCAUCACAGACUAGUAAGUACCCUAAUCCUCACCCAUUACAGGUUACAAGCGAAAAAGGUUCCAAUUUGAGUGGAGUAUUUCGCUAGCCACUGCGAGGCAUUAGACCUCCGAAAAGCAAUAGGUACUUUACUCCCUCCUAGAGGACGGAGUCGGGUGUAGAGCUCAUGUUAUGCACAUGCACAUGAAUGACAUAAUUAACAAAGUGAAUAAACAAUAAUACAUAUAUAUAUACAAAAAGGUUCAAUUUUAUUAGGCUUUUGGAUAACACAAAUUAUUUGCUAGCCUGACUCUCAAAGUCCCCAGUGGAGUCGCCAAGCUGUCAUAACGUCUACGUGUGAGGAAGGUUAUAGCACCCACAACGCCCAUCAAAAGAUGUACUAGCUUAAAGUGUUAUCCAAAGUCUUAAAAUUUAUCAAGUAAUUAAUUAUUAAAAAAAUAUUCUCUAAUUGAACUCUAAUACUUUAGCAAAAAAUGAGAAAUUUCCCUCACCUCAGAUAGCAAAAAAACUACUGUUCACAUGCAGAGGCUUCGUCGUCGAUUAGUUAAGAAAAAUCAAAUAUAAAAUCCAAUUAUAGAAAAGGAAUGAAAGAAUGAUUUUUUUUUUGUGUAGGGAAAAUUGAUACUUUCAACUUUUCCCCACAAACAUUUUUUUUUUGAAAAUUUAUUUUAAGGAAAAUUGAUACUUUCAACUUUUCCUCAAAAAUAUGUUUUUGGAAAUUUAUUUUUAAGGAAAAUUGAUACUUUCAACUUUUUCUCAAAAAUAUUUUUUUUUGAAACUUUGAUUUCCAAGAAAAAUUGAUACUUUCAACUUUUCCCCAAAAAUCUUUUUUUUUAAAUUUAUUUUUUUAAGAAAAAUUGAUACUUUCAACUUUUUCCUAAAAAUAUUUUUCGAAAAUUUUGAUUUUCAAAGAAAAUUGAUACUUUCAACUUUUCCCUAAAAAUAUUUUUUUUUGGAAAUUUUGAUUUUUAUUUAAAGAAAAUAGAAUAAUAAAAUAAAAAAAAUAAAAAAACAAAAUAAAAAUAAAAAUAAAAUAAAGAUAAAAAGAAUAUUAAAUAAACAUAAUCUAAUAAAUAAAUAAAAUAAACAAAUAAAUAAACAAAUAAAUGAAAAAAAAAAACCUGGAGCGGCUCGGAUCGAGGCUCGGCUCGGCUCGGUUCAAGGAAGAGAAAACGACUCAGGGGAGCGGCUUGGAAGCUCGGCUCGGCUCGGUUCGGCUUGAAGGAGGGGCAGCACGCGCGGGUCAGAAAAACGGUUCGACGCUCGGGUCGGGUCGGGUUCAGUAAAACGCGCGGAUCCUCUGGUUACUUAAGGCCAAAACGACGUCGUUUUGGAAGGGUAUAAAAGGCAAUCCCUUUCGUUUUUCGGCAGAACGCUCCUCCCCUCUCUCUCUCUUCUUUCCUUUUCCUCUCCCUUCUCUCUAAAAGCUGAAGAACACCGGUGUCGAAUUCUAGAAAAUGUCACCAGAAUCUGGAAAUUUCGUCGGAAGUUGGCCAGAAUAUCACCGGUUUCUGGAAUUCUUCGCCAGAAACUGGGCAGGUCACCGAAAACUUCAAUGUUCGUCGGAAUUGUUGUCGGAAAAUUCAAAUUUCACCGGAAUUUUCGUCGGAAUCUGGAAAUUUCCUAGAAAUUUUCAGAAAAAUUUUUCGCCAAAAAUUUCUAAAAAUUUUUUCUCACUCCCAGAACGCUCCUAAACUUUUCCUAGCUUCCUAUACGCCUCUUUUUCUCUCAAAUCAGUAGCUUUGCUUACUGUUUUCUCCCUUUUUUUUGAGUGUACCAAUCUGUUCCAGAGGGGGUCCCUUUUAUAGGGAUUGAUCAGGAGUUUCUGAUCAAUCCCAAUUCCUCUUUGGACGGGGAUUCAAUCUUUGAAUCCAAUUGGACUCUUUUGAUUGAAUCCUCAUUCCUAGUAGGAUUCUCCAUCUUUUAAUCCUAACCAUCCAAAAAAGAAAACAAAGAAAAAAAAAUAAUAAUAGUAAAAAAAUCAUAUACGGAUCAAGAAAAGAGAGAAAAAAAGAUUAUUAACAGAUAAUUAGGGACACAAUAAGAUAAACCAACCAAAAAAAAUAUUACAAGAAAAAAAAGAAAAGAAAAUAAUUAUAAUAUAAUAAUAAAUAUAUAAUUAUAUAAAUAUAAUACAUAUAAAUAUUAACAGAGAAAAUAAAUAAAUAAAUAAAUAAAGAUAUACAUAUAUUAAUAUAUAAUAAUAAUAAUGGAUAAUAAAAUAUGUCAAAUACAAAAGAAAAAAAAUACAGGAUAAAAUUGAAUUGGGCCUUACCCUUUUGGGCCAGACCCAAUUGAUCUGGGCCUGGACCUAAUUGGGUGUCUACAUUAUUCCAUCAAUUCUUUUUUUUUUUUUUACUUGAAUAAGGAUUUCGUCUUUAUAGUCUACAUAUUCCAUUUUUGAGGAUUUUUCUAGAAAGGUCAUUGCAACAGGUUCUUGAUAAGUAUUAUAAAAAUAUAAUCAUUUUCUACAUAUAUUCUGUUUCCAUCAAUAGGAAUUCUACUAGUGGGUGUUUUUGAAAUUAUUUCUCUGGCUUUUUCCAUGAGAAACUUUAAUAUUGAAAACCAAUGCUUCUAAUGAAUAUUUGGGAUGUUUUGUGAAUGCCAAAACACAUAAUAAAGAAUUAAUAGGCUAUUAUAAUUCAAAAAAACUCAACCAAAUGAAAUAAAUUAUAUUACUUUUGAAAAAGAAUUAUUAGUCAUAAAAAAUAGGAUAAGUAGAUUUCAUAUUUAUUUAUCACCAAUAUAAUUUAUUAUUAGAAUUGAAAUAAAGUAAUUCGAUAUUUUUUAAAAAAUAAAAAGACAAAAACUAAUCUACGAAGGAUUUGGCGGUACAAUUUUUAAGUCAAUAUGAUUCUUUUAUUUAACCUAUUUAAGGAACUAACAAUGUUAUUGAUGAUAUUCUUAGCAAACCUAAUGGGAGAUAGAGGUAGCCUUUUGAACAAAUAGGAGAAUGGGUUACUAUAAAAAAGAAGCUAUCUAAAUAAGGUUCCUCCUCCUUCAAUAAAAUUUCCAAAAUUCCUAAACAAGGAAUAUAAAUUCAGUCACUAGCACUAGUAUUUCAAUAGCCUAAUCAAGGAUUCUAUUUUUACCCUUCAAUUCCACCACAAGUAGUAAUGGAACCAUAUCAAUAUUCACAAUGGUCUCAAGAUCCUAAUUUUACCCCAGUUUCUUAUUCAAAUAUCAUUAAGAAAAUAGAAUCACUGUUAAAACAUCAAUAGCUAGAACCUUAUAAAAGAUAUUUAUAAUUCGGGAUUACCCAUUGGAUUAUAGUUUCAAGUUAAUGAAAUUUGGAAAGCUCAACUUCUCGGCAAUAGGUCAACUUUCAAGAAAAACCUUAUAAAGCUUUUUGAAUUAAAAUAUCAUGCAAUUAAUAUAAAAUAUCAUGCAAUUAAUUAUAUUAAACUCAUGCCAAAAUAAGAAUUAAAAAUAAAUUAACAAAGACAUCAUGCAAAAAUAUACCUUUUUUCCUCAAUCAACCAUUUAAAAUAAUAAAUAUGAUAAUAUAAUAUAUAAAAAAACCAAAAGAAAAAUCAAAGCAGAAAAUAAAUGAAAAAAAAGGGAAACCCGCAUCACGGGUCGAGUCGCCCAACUAGUUACAUGCGGGUUGCUAGUAGGUCAACUGUGUUUUCACGGGUCAAAGUUUUCUAAAAACGUCACCAUUUUGAUGGUGUAUAAAGGCAAAAAAAAAAAAAAGUUUUUUCUUUAGAAAGCCUUGGCUUUUUCUCUUUUUAGCUAAACUUUUUUUUUGUUUUCUUUCUAGAAAUUUAACAAGAAAAUUCAUCAAAACUAAAUUUCGACCACCAAAUCUAGAUCUCAGUGCCAAAAACUUCAAACAAUCAUCAGGAUAUUCAAACCAAAACCAAAAUAUUGCAAACCCAGAGAACGACAAUUACUUUCUCUUCCGACUAUCGUGAACUUGGCUAGAAAAUUUAAAUGUUCAAUCAAAAAAUUCAACAAAAAUCCAAAAAAAUAAAAAUUUUGAGAAAAAACCCAAAACACUAAAAAUCUCCAAAAUUCAUCAAAAAAAUCUAGAAAUCACAUAAACCCAAAAUUUCUUAGGAAAGAACCAAAAUCCAAAAUAAAUUAAAUCCCAUAACAAAACCUAGAUUUCAAACUUCAAAAAAAAAAUUCCAAAAACUUUCAGAAAAUCGACCCAAAUCCAAAACACAAUAAAAAACUCAUGAUAUUUUUUACAUUCCAAUUUAUUCCCCUCUUAUGUGAUUAUUUUGUGUUCAUAUAGGAAUUCAAUUCCUAUCAAAUCUGAAAACCAAAUGAAAUUGAUUAUUGAUUAGAUUUUAUGUGACUUAAUUUUCUAUAAGUUUUCUUUUGACACGAAGAUCUGUCUUUGAUUUUCCUUUUGUGAAAUCUAGUGAUUAAUUUGCAUAUCUGAUUCCCAUGAUUUUUAUAAAUUCCACGUUUUCUUUCCUUUUUUUAUUUUCUCUCUUUUUUUUUACUUUUAACCUUUUUUUUACUUUUUACUUUUAUUUUUUACUUUUGACCAAACUAGAUAAAAACAAAAAUAAAUCAAAAUUAAAAUUCUAGGCUUUUAUCUCGUUGGGCUUGAGGUUUUUCAAUCAAAUGCUCAUUUUUAAUCUUGAAAACAUUUUUAAACAAAAUAGGAUGUUUACAGUAAAGAUAUUAGUUUUAAUUAAAAUUUUUCGGGUAUUUUCUUUUAACUUUUUCUAUUUUGUUGUUUCAUGCUAUUUCCUUUUAUUUAAAAUUAUAUUAUGUAUUUCCUUACUCAAUGAUAUUUUUUUAUUGUAUUUCUUUUUAUGAUAUUUUAAAAUAUUUUAACUUUAUUUUUAUUUAAAAUUUUAUUUUAUUUUAUUAUUUAUUUGAUAUUUGUUUGUCAACAAAUCUACUCAGAUAUAAUAAAAUAAACAUAAAAGUCUCUGCUUGGUUGGCUCUAUUUUUGGCAAGUAUAUCAACAAAACAAUUUUUUUAUAUAUCCUUCAUCAAUUGAACUUGCAUUUUAUCCGUAAAACAUCUCAAGUUAUCUAAUAACACAUAUACGAAUGAAUUUUUUUUUAAAGACACAUAAAGAAUAACUUUAUUAUGACAAGAAUUUAAAAAUGAAUGGUCAUUUGAAAAUUAAUUUUCAAAAUAAUAUUAGAAAGUCAAGGCUAACAAUAGCUUGCAAGCCAUUCUUUAUGGCCUCAUAACUCAGUACUCAUGCAAGUGGUAUUGCAAAAUCUGCUUCAGAAACUAAAAAUGAAACUAUCGUUGUAGCAUUAAAUCAAAUAGGGGUGAGUAAAUGGUCGGUUCGAUUUGAAAAAAUCAAUAACUGACUUAACCGACUUUCAUUUAAUAAAUAAUCGAAUCGAUCGAAUAUUAUUAAAUAAUCGAUCAUAACCGAACCGAUCAAAAUCAGUUCGGUUCGGUCGGUUUGGUUAAAUAACCUAUUUUUUUAUCAUUUUUCUUCCUAUUAUUAAUAAUUAUUUAACUACAAAUUCAAUUCAAUAAAAUUUAAACUCUAGUAUUAUUCAAACUAAAUUACUAAAGAAUUUAAUAAUUUCAACAAUAUUUUACCAAAAAUAAAUAAAUAAAAAUAUUUAUCUCAAUUUUUUUAUUUUUAAUUAUUAGAAAGUCGAUUAAUUCGGUUAAUACAGUUAUCAAUUUUAAAAAUUGAAAAUCGAUCGAAUUAAUCAAUUUAACCAAUUUAAAAAACUGAUUAUAACUAAAACCGAAUAAGUCGAUCCGAUUUAAUCGAAUUUGCUCGAUUUUGAUCAGUCUAGUCGGUUCAAACCGACUUUUGCUCACCCCUAAAAUCAAACCUCCAAUACCUGUAACUUCAGGAUUCCCAAUAGGAUACACAUCUAUCAUUACUUUGAUUAAGAUAAUUUUUAUAUGAUUUCAAUUACUAUCCUUAAUUGAUUAAUUAAUGCAAUUUUUUCAAAAAAUAAUUUUAUACUUUUGUUAUUUGAAUGCCCCAUAUUCUUAAAUUAAAGUGUAUUAACUUCUUUUAAUCAAAUAUUUAUUGUCCUUAAUACUUACAUUGUUUGUCAUUUUUCUUAAUAUUUACAUUGUUUGUAAUGACAAAUAAUUUGAUUAAUCUUAAUUCUUACAUUGUUCUUAAGACUUACUUUGGUCUUAAUUUUUCUAAAUUUUGGUCAUUGUUCUUAAUUGAAAUGGGCAUAUAUUUGAAUCAAAUUGUUUGUUAUUUUUGUUAAUACUUGCAUUGUUAUGUUUCUUUGAUAAGUUAUUAACAAUUUUUCUUUAUUAAAAAAAAAAACAGCCGCAGUGAAUUAAGGGCAUCACACUAGUAUGUAUAAAUUUGGAAUCAUAAAGUUAAAUUAAAGAAAAUAAAACUUGAAAGACAACAAAUAAUGCGUAAUUGUUCAAUAUAUUACAUGCAUUAAAAUAUAUGCAUGUAGCAUUGUUUUUGUCCUAGACAUUCUCCGCAGACUAAUAGAAACAUUAAUUUUCAUUUCAUCAUGUGAAAAGGAUAAAAAUAAAUUUACAUAGAUAAAUGAUAUGCAUAAAUAUUUGUGGAGAAAUAAUCAAGAUCUUUAAUAUUGUAUCAGAUAAUAUUUUUAUUUUAAAAAAUGAUGUAUAUUGAUACUUGUUGUUUUUAGCAUAUUAUUUUGGGUCUUUCUAUUUAGUAUAAAUAUAUUUAUAAAUAUAUCUGGACUUACAUAAUAAUACUACUAACAAUAUGCAAAUUAUAUAUAUAAUAUUUUCAAAUAUCAAAUAAAUAAGUUUAAAAAUAUUUAAAAUAAUAUUAUCAAUUUAACAUGAAUUUUUAAAUAUUUAAUCUAAUCACAUGAUAUUUAAAUGAAUUUUUUUAUAUAAGAAUAUAUUAAGAUAAAAAAUAAAGAGAUGAAAAAGAAAAUAACUUUAUCUUUAGGAGUCUUAACACAAUUGCUUUUUCUUUUUCUUUUCUUUUUGAAAAAAUUGAAAUUGAUAUAAACCUUUGGUUUUAAAAAAUAAAGUGUAAAAAAUAUAAAAGUUACUCUAGAAAAUAGCGAGAUGAGGCUCAAGUAUCAACUUUGAAAGGUUUCAUUUUUUUUUAUUUUUUGAGCUAAUUUUUUUAAUUUUUAUUAAAUUAAAAAUAGUAAAAAAAAAGUUACAAAAUUGAAAAUCAAGUUUCACUACCAUGUAUCGACCAAAAAUUAUUAAUUAACCGAAAUUCAUCAAAAUCAACUAGAACCAACGAAAACAAUUGAUAUUAUUUUAUAUUAAAUUCGUAUAAAAAAUCACUCUUAAAUGUAACAUAUUUUAAUAUAAUUGAAGUGCACCUUCUAGUACAAUUGAUAUCAAAACAAAAUUAAAUAACUUUGAAAAUAACAAGAGAAAAGGGAAAUUUGAUUUUGAAUCACUCCCAAAAUGAACGACCUAACAUUAAAAAAAAAAGGUUAAGAAAUUCAAAUACCACCCUUUUUUGUAUUUUUUUUUUUUUUUGGAGAGAUUCACAAACCAUGACAAUAGGACUAGAACUAGCAUGUUAUGUUUAAGGUGGUCACCUUGAUAUUUUAAUUGAUGGAGCCCUACUAGCUUUUGCAUUUAAAAGUAGCUUAUGAUCUAAUUUUAAUGUUAAAUAACAAAAAAUAUGAUUUUUUAGUCUAAAAACUUAACUUUCAAAUUCAAAUAAAAAAGCUAUUAAAAAUGUGCUCUAGUAGUAAAAAUGUGUGUUGGAGCUAAAAAAUUAUUAUUAUAUUAUAUUUAUAUUUAUAAUAUUUUAUUAUUUUAUGUAUACAUUUUAGACAUUUCAAUUACUCACAUAUUAAUACACUUCACUUAAAUUUUUUAAUUAUAUUGUUUAAAUGCACUUUUUUCAAUCCAAUACUUGAGAAAAUUUUGAAAAUCUACAAAAUUUUGAGCUUUUGCUACCAAUCUUAAACUCCUAAAAUUUGAAAUGUUAAUUAUCCCUAAGUAAACAACACUAAGGAUGGCAAAUGAGGGAGACAGAUAGGUUUUUUCUUAUACCGAACUUGACCCGAUUUUAAUAGUUUUACUCAUUUCCAUUUUAUCCAGCUGUUGGAUUAUUAUUUUAAUAUCCAACUUCAACUAGGAAAAAAAUAUAAUUUGCAUUUCAUCAGAAAUUUAGUUUAGUACAAUCUUUAUAAAAACUAUUUUUUAAUAUAAAUUUUAUCUUAAUUAUAAAUAGUAUUUUAUUAAGUUCAUUUUAUAAAUUAACAUGCUAAAUAAUAAAUUAGUUAAUAUAAUAAAUAUAUAAAUAUAAAAUGAAUUAAAUAAUAAAAUAUAUCAUUUUUAUAUAUACUUGAACGUAAUGAAAAAACCUAGAACCAUCACUACAAUAAAUCUGACAUAUAGUGACACUUAAAAAAGCAUCGAUAAAGCCUUAAUAUCUGUCAGUAUAGCAUCAUAAACCCUAUACCAAAGGUCAAAAUAUGUAUUCAGACGAAAUUUUAACCGUCGAUAUAUCUUUUGUCGGUAUAGACCUAUAUUAACAGUUUUUAAGGUGUCAAAAUAGCUUACAAAAAUAUUUUUAUGGUUUAAGACUGUCAGUAAAGAUAUAUCUGUUGGUACAGCAUAUGUUGUAUGUUUCGCCGUUAUACCUUUUACUGAUGGUUAACACCCAUCAGUAUAGACUUAUAUGUUUUAAUUUUUCUUGCUUAUACCAACGGUUAAUGCCUAUCAGUAUAGCCUUUACCUAUACUGACACUUAAAGCCUGUCAAUAUAGGUAAAAAAUAUUUUAAUUUUCUCACCUAUACCGAUGGCUAGCGCUUGUUAGUAUAAAUUUAUAUGUUUUAAUUUUUCUGGCCUAUAUUGAUAAUUAAUGCUUGUUGUAUAGGUAUUUAAUUUUUUUUACCUAUACCGACGCUUAACAUCCAUUAGUAUUGACUUGUAUUUUUUAAUUUUCUUACCUAUACCGAUGGUUAGAGACUUUCGUAUAAAAUUGUAUGCUUUAAUGGAUAUACCUAUACCGACGAUUAAAGAUUGUUAGUAUAGACUUAUAUAUUUUAAUUUUUUUAUUAUAUUUUAGUGACUGUUAGUAUUGCCUAAAAUAUUCUAACGAUCAAGUACGUCAUUAUAAAUGUUAAGACGUUGGUAAAAUUUUUUAAAAAUUAUACUUUUAAUUAUUAAUAUUAAUUUAUUUAUAAUCAUAAUAUGAUAUGUUUUCAAAUAAAUAAAAAAAUACAAUAAAGUAAAAGAUAUUUAAUAACAUUAAAACUACAAGUAAAUUAUUUAUAAUACACAGACUUACUAUAAGUGAAAAACUAAAGUCAUUGUACCAAGUUGAUAAAACAAACAUAGAUAAAGAGUUACACUAUCUUACCCUGAAAAACACAAUCAUAAGUUUGUACAAAUAGACACCUAAAGACUUUUUUAUCAUCUUAAAAUUUCAAUAAUACUCUGAACAAGAUAAUAUUAAAAAAAUCUAUAAACGACCAAACAAUUGCAAAACCACCUCAAUAAGAAAAACAUACAUGCACCUAUUACAAGCCUUUUCCAAAAUCAAAAUGUUUUAAUUCAUACAAUAUAUCACAAGUCUUGAAAAAGUCAACAAGUGUAGCUACAUCAUAUAACUAACAAGCUCAUUGAACCCAGCUCAUUAACAGUAUUCAAUAUACUAAUCAAGUAUCACAAAGCAUAAUAGCCUUAUUUUACAAAGUGCAUUACAUUCAAAACAAAACAAAAUCUCCCUACAAACAUAAUGCUUCGAGUAAAUGAACCACUUUCUAAAAUAAAUGAUCUCAUCAUAGAUUUCUAAAAAGAAGCAUCUGCAUAGUAUAAAAAAAUCUAAUUAGAAUUCUUGUAAAUUAUCUUAUAUAUACAGAAAGAAUAAGGUAAUCAUCUAUUUAUAUACUAGUAGAAAUAAUUUUAUAAGCAUCUUAUUCAUUCAUAUAUAUAGAAGGUAAUCAUCUUUUUAUAUACCAACAAAAAUAAUAUUAUAAACAUCAUAUUCAUUAGUGUAAUGCAUGAAUGAACAAUAAACAACCUAAUUUGCAUGUGUAAUCUCCUCAUUCUAUUAGUUUAAUUUCAAAUAAUAACUUAAUGAAAUCAACCUAAGAUUAUUUUAGUCACAGAACUAUCAUUAAACAAAUAUUUUCACUAUAACAUUCAAGUUUACAACUACAAAGCAUGCUUACAUCAUAAGCAAGCCUUUUCAAAGGAAAAAAAAAAAAAAGCAAGAAAGCUUUUUCAAGGGAAAUAGAAUAGGUUUUAAAUCAUAUUGUAAUUUAAUGAUUAUGAAAAGACGACGGGUAAUGUUUUAAGAACACAAUUACAUUAUUCAAAACCUAGAUUCAAAAUUGAUUUUGGCAUUCUAUCUAAGAAACAAGUAUUAAGCAAAGUAUUUUCACAUAUAUAUCAUGUGAUGAUGAGUUUACCAUUUUCAUUCUCAUUAGGUUAAUUAUUUGAAUUUGAAAAUGACAAUAUGACAAUUUACAUAUAUAAAAACUAAAAUAGAUGUUAUAUAUACUUCUCUAUUCACCAUGUGAGUAAUAGUAUUCAAGAUAUCCAUAUUCUUAUUAAAAAAUUAUCUUUUAAGUAUUGAUAAGACAAUACUUAAAGUUUCUUUCAUGUCUUUAAUUUUGGUCUUCAACUUUUAUACCUCUUCCUUAUGCUGAUCCAAUUCAAAAAAUAAAUAACCAUAUUAUUUAGAUGAAGUAGAUAUUGUAUCCAUGCAACGAACACGCCCUUUUUCUCUCUGGUCCUUUAAUAUUUGAAUAAAUAUCAUCUUUCCAUGAACUUUUUUCAGAAUUCUGAGUACUAGUUUUGCUCAAACCUUGUUUUAUGAGUUCUUAAAAUUGUAAACAAAUAUUUUAGUAUAAAGAAACAAAACAUAAGUAAAAGCAAAUAAGAACUAAAUUAAAUACCAUAAUUUUAGUUGUCUUGUUAUUCAUAACACUUUCAUCUUUACAUGUACGAGAAAGAAUAUGCACCUCAGUACGUGAUGGUAAAAUUUCAUUAGCUUCUUCUUUCUACAAAGGUACAAUAUUAAUUAUUGUAAUGACAAAAUCGUACACAUAAAAAGCAAACUUCAUAUUCAUUUAACUGAGUGUGACAAGAAAAAUUGAUAUAUGUACAAAGGUUUGAAUGAUCCUUGAGAAUGAUUUUGUUCAUGUGUAAUGAGGCUUAUCUAAUUUUGAGUGAUUUAUUUUGUUUGUCUCACUUUAUUCCUUUACACAAAUGAAUAAGAAAACAUAUAUUAUAAUAACUUUAUAAUUAUUAUCAUAGUGUUAAAACAAAGUAAAUAGUAUCAUUUGUAAACAUUUAUCUUCGUUUUAUUAGUCAACCAAUGUACAACAAGAAAUAGGAGUUGACUUUUGUCUACUCAAGAAUCAUCAUCUUUUGCAGCCAUUUCCUCGAUGUCUUAUGUUCAUAAUAAAAUUUAGACUUCAAUUCAUUCUUCCAUUGCCGCCACUUAGCACCCAUGUUUCUUAAGACUUAUUUUUUUAUAUAUUUCUUCAUCAACGAGCUCAUCAGAAUCAGAUUUGUGAAAUUCAAACUUUGAUUACAAUUUGAAAGAGGUAAUUGGAAAGAAAAUGUCAAUAUAUGUUAUAUGAAUUGCUACUAUUAACUAGAAACUAAAAGAUUAUUGUCAUGGUAUUAGCUAGCAAAUAAAAUAUUAUCAUAUUGAUACCUCUAAUAUUUUUUACAUUUCUUCCUUCUUAUCAUUCGAUAUUUCAUGCCAAUUUGUAUAAUUAAUUGGUGCAAAGCUAGGCAUUCUCCCCAUGCUACCAAUGAAUCAAGUUAAAUAGCAAGAUUCAUCACCGAUAGGUAUAGCAUCAUCAUUAACCUUAACAACAACAUGUUCCCUUUUCUUUCAAAUCCCAAAUAUCAGCCAUAUGUGUAGGAUCUCAAGCUUUUUUAUGUUGAACAUUUCUUAGAUAGAAAAAUUACAUGUAAAGAAAGUAAUUAAAUUCAUUAAAAAUUGUAUUUGUAUAAUAUUAUAACAUAUAAAGAAUUGUACUAACAGAAUAUAGUGUUUUUAUACUUGAAUUAUGUUCAACUUGAUCUUCAUUAUUUGCAGAUUAAGAAAUUGGAUCUUGAGAUUCUUGUAAAGGUUUAUGUUGUGAAGCUUUUGGAUCUACAAGCACAUAUUAUUCUUUAGAUUAUGUUUGCAAUUAAGAACUAGAGGCACGAUAUGCCCUAAUGAUAUUCGAUCGUCUAUGUUUUGACAUUUUAAGUCUAAUAAUACACAAUAUAUUAGUAAACUUGCCAUCUUAAGUCUAAUAAUACAUAAUAUAUUAGUAAACCAUGUCUUACAUUGCAAAACCUUAAAAACAAAUUAAACUAUUACAUAGAAUUAAAAAAUCCCUAGCUUGUAUGUUACCCACAUCAAUAUUCAUAGCUCUUUCAGACAUCAUAUCAUGUAAUAAAUCAUGAAUGUCAGGACCUUGCCCUCUUUAUUCAUCAUUAGUUAUUUCAGUAUGUAAACAUAUAUCCAAGACCUCCUUGUGAAAUACCCAUCGAACAUAUCAUUUAAGAAAACCUUGACAUAUUAUGUGAACAAAUGCAUCUCCCCUACAAACUCUAAAUGUGUUGACACAUUUAAAAAAAAGGACACCAAAAUUUUUCAGCUUCAUAUGGUAUUGUAAAGGCAAAGUUUAAAAAACUAGUGACUCAUUUUAUGUAUUCUUCACUAGCUCUUGAUGUAAGAUUUAUCCACGCCUUAUCCAUAAAAUAUAAGAUGAUUUACCCUAGUAAUUAAAUUAUGUUUAAUUUAAAAUUUAAAUUAAAAUAAUAGCAUUUAAUUUAAACACUAAAUAAAAUUUAACUAUGUAAGCAUAAUGUAACAUUUUCAUUAAGAAUAAUAUUUCAGAUGUACCUUUAUAAUUAAACUUAUGUAUUUUUAGGAAAAGCACAACCAAGAUCAAUUUUGGUUGAAUAAGCAAGAGAGAGGCAGAGGAUAGAAGGAAAGUAACUCACAAUUGUAAAAGGACAAUUUGGGCAGCUUGUAAAAACUAUGUAGAAAUGAGGGAUUUUUGUAAGGAAAAUAAAGUUCUAAAGCUUGAAAAUUUAAACAAGGAUUUUAUCUACAAAGUUAAAAAGAUCAAAGGCAAGGGAAAGUGAGAUGAGAUAAGUUUCAAGCAAAGUAAGGAUUGAAAUGUAAGGUAAGGAUGGUGGAAACAAAAUUUUCACUAUUUUUGUUUUAAUAAGUUUAGAUUUUUUAAAAAGGUUUUUAUUUCCAAGACGUGAGAGCAUAAGGUAAGGACAAUGGAUUAUUGAAGGCAUUUUUUGUCAAAAAACACCUCGAAUAAUCUUUAGAUAAGGGAUUAUUCUCUUUAAUUUUUUAUGAGGAAUUAUUUAAGGCAUUUUUUACAAAAAAUGCCUCUAAUAAUUUCCUUCACUUUUUAGGCGGGGAUUAAUCAAGGCAUUUUAACCUGAAAAAUAUAUUGAAUAAUCCCUUAUAAAAAAUUAAGUAGGGUUAUUGAAAUUGUUUCUGGUCAAAAAUGCAUUGAAUAAUCCUAUUAGAUUUUUUAUGAGUGGAUUAGUGAAUGCGUUUUUGGUCAAAAACACUUUCAAUAAUCCCCUCUUAUUUUUAUGAUGGAUUAUUGAAGGCGUUUUUAGCCAAAAAAUACUUUGAAUAAUCUUUACAAACUAUUGAAUGGGAUUAUUGAAGGCGUUUCUAGUUAAAAUAUUUUGAAUAAUUCGUAAAUUAUUUAAGGUAUUUUUAGCCAAAAACACCUUUUAUAAUCUACGAAUUAUUCAUUCAAAGAGGAUUAUUGAUGGUGUUUUCUAUCAAAAAUACCUUCAAUAAUUCAAGCUUUUUUUUUGGAAUAUUUAAAGCGUUUUUGCCUAAAAAACGCAUUAAAUAAUUUCCUUCAAUUUUUAUGAUAGGAUUAUUGAAGGCGUUUCUAGCUAAAAAUUCCUUGAAUAAUUCAUAGAUUAUUCAAGACAUUUUUGGCCAAAAAUGCAUUCUAUAACCCAUGAAUUAUUCAUUCAAAAGGGAUUAUUAAAGGCAUUUUCUGUCAAAAAUACCUUUAAUAAUUUUAGCAUUUUUUUAUAGAAUAUUCAAGGCAUUUUUACCCAGAAAAUGCCUUGAAUAAUCUCCUUCAAUUUUUAUGAUGGGAUUAUUAAAGGCAUUUUUAGCUAGAAAAUACCUUGAAUAAUCUAUUACAAAAUAUUAAAUGGGGUUAUUAAAGGUAUUUUUGACUAAAAAUGCCUUGAAUAAUUCGUGGAUUAUUCAAGGCAUUUUUCACCAAAAAUGCCUUCAAUAACCCACGAAUUAUUCAUUUAAGGGGGAUUAUUCAAGGCGUUUAUAGUAAAAAACACGUUGAAUAAUCCCUUUCAAUUUUUAUUAGGAGAUUAUUAAAGGCGUUUUUGCCCAAAAAAUACCUUUAAUAAUCCCCUCAAAAAAAUUUUGUAUGGAUUAUUGAAAGUGUUUUUGACCAAAAAACACCUUCAAUAUGCUAUGCAAUUUUUUGUUAGCCAAUAGUUUUUUUGUUUUGAGCCUAUACUGACGGUUACAUUAAUAACUGUCAGUAUAUAACAUAUUUAUACUGACAGAUAGGAUAAUAAUAUACCAUCAGAAAAAGUUUAUUUAUAUUGAAGAUUAAACAAAGUGUUGGUAUAAAUAUGGUAUAUUUUGAUGGUAUUAAAAAUCCAUCAGUAAAAGUCUCUUUUACUAACAAAAUUUAAUCGGCGAUAAAUAAUCUAUACAAAAAGUUUUAUGUAAGGAUUAUUGAUGGUGUUUUUUGUCGAAAACGUCUUCAAUAAUCCCUCUCCAAAAUUUUAUGAAUGGAUUAUUGGUGUUUUUGGACAAAAACGCUUUCAAUAAUCCCAUUUAAUAUUUUGUAAAUUAAUAGUUUUUUUGUUUUGAGCCUAUACUGAUGGUUACAUUAAUAAUCGUCAGUAUAUAACAUAUUUAUACUUAUGGAUAGUCAUAUAUCAUCAGAAAUAGUUUAUUCAUAUCUACGGUUAAAUAAAGUGUUAGUAUAAGUAUAAUAUAUUCUGACGGUAUUAAAAAUUUAUAAGUAAAAAUCUCUUUUACUGACAGAAUUUGACUGUUAGUAUAACCAAGUAUCAGUAUAUGAAAAAUUUUUGUAGUGCAUUUCUGACUUCAUUUGACUCUUUUUAAUAAGCAUAAAUACAAAAAAUUAAAAACAAAAAUAAAAAUAAAAUAUUAUUUAAAAUUUUAUCAUUCUAUUACAAUUAAUUAAAUUUUUAAAUAUUUAUUUUUACUUGAUUGAAUUAUUGAUUAGACAAAAAUUAUAUGCUAGCCCUCAAACAUCUAUUAAUGAUCGUUAGUCAUGCAACACGUAUGGUCAACUUUAGGGUGUGAUCGAUCGAGUUCAAACUGAUACAGUAUUAAACUCGAGUUUAAGCUCGAUUCAAAAUUUAAGGCUCGAAACUCGACUCGAACUCGAUCGAGUUUUAUUUUUUUAGCUCGAGCUUGACUCGAGAUAGAAAUCGAGCUACUCGAGCUUGAUCGAUUAGGCUCGAUUAACAUGUAAAAAUAAGCUCAAUUUUUAUAUUUGAUAAAAACUUGAUUAUUUGUGCUCAAGUUCGAGCUCGAGUUUAAGAUAUUUUAUUAAUUAAAAUAAUAAAAAUAUAUUAAAAUAUAAAAAUUCGAUUAGGCUCGCGAGUUACUCGAGUUAAGUAUAAGAAUAUUUGAACUUGACUCAAUCGAUGAGUCAAGUUACUCGAGCUCAAGUUCGACUCGAUAAUAAUCAAGUCGAAUUCGAGUUUUAUUCGAAUCGAACUUAAAUAACUUACGAGUACUAAUAUAUCAUUUACACUCAUAAUCAACUUCACGUUUAGUCUAAAAGUCUAAUUUAAAUUGAUUAUAAUAAAAUAUUAAAAAAUUUGAUAAUAAUUUAAUUUUAAUUUUAAUUUUUAAUUUUUAAACCUUUUAAAUAAAUUAAAAACAUGUCUUUGACUCAGACAUGACUGUUUAAAAAUUAAUAAAAUUUUUAUUAUUUUAUCUAAAGGUAAUAGAUGCAUCACUAACUAAAUCGAUGAUUUUUAACAAAAAAAUCUAUAUUAAUAUUUAUUAAAUUACUUUUAGAUUUUUAAGUAAAAUUUAUUUAUUUUUAUAUUUAAUUUAAAAUUAUUAAAUUUAAAUUAUUAGUUUAAUUAAAAAUAUAUUAUUCAUCUUUAAAUUGAGUAGUGAAAACUUUUAAUAAUUUUAAAGUCAUAAAAAAAAUUUUAUCUCAUGAGGCAUUCAGCAUUUGGAGAGUUAGUGAAAUUCAAUAACGUAAUUCCCUCCUCCACCAAAAUAAAUGCAGUAGAGUGAAAUUCAUAAUAAAGUAGAGUGAAAUAGAAACUUCAAAUAAAAACCGUCACUAUCAAAUCCAGACGAGUCACGAGACGAAUGUGAAUGGUAUGGGUGAUUUUCCAAACCUAACCAAGAAAAGUGCUUUCGGCCAAAAAAGAAAAAAAAAAGAAAAUGUGCCUCAACGUCAACGGACAAUGCACUGCCAUCACUAAAAAAAAAAUAAAAAAGAGCGGUGCCCAAAGAUGAUAAAGUGGAAACAUAAGUCGAUAAUCACCACAAGACUCUAAAAGGGCGGAUCUGAUCAAAGAGAAAGAGCUUCCAUCUUCAUUUUUAAGCCACUUUAAGGUCUACGCUUUCACACACAGAUCGGGUUGUUAGGAGAAAGAUGGUUGAAGCUUCUUUUGCUUGUCGUGUUUAAAACGAGUCAAGUAAGGGUUUUUUUUUUUUGUUCAUUUUAACCGAAAAGAUUUUACUUUCUUUUUCUCUCAAAAGUUUCGCAAACUAAGUGGGUUGUAAAUGAAUUUCACACGGAGAUAGCAGAGAGGUAACAGCAAAAGUAUCAAGAGACUGAGCGGAAUAUAUACAUAUUGAGAAUUUUGAGAUGGUUGUGGUGGGUGGUUUUGGUAGUCGUGUUUCUGUUAGAAUGGUGCCGUGCCAAUGAGGGUUGUCAGGAGAAAGAAAAAUUGGGUCUGCUCAAGCCUUUCCCAUUCACAACAAUCUGAAUUUUAUAUUCUCUAAAACUUGAAGAGGAAGAAGGAGAUCUAAUUAUUCAGAUUGUUGCUAAUGGGAAAGGGUUGAGUGCGAUGCUAGUAGCAGACAAUAGCGUUUGAUCAAUCUUGAGUUGCUUGAUUUGGACUAUAAUCUCCUCAACAGUACCAUAUUCUCAUCCCUUGUGGCUUUCUCAAAUCUGAAGUAUUUCAGUAUACAAGGCAACAACCAGAAAGGACCAGUAGUUAUUAAAGGUAAGAACUAAGAAAAGCUACCCUUUUAUUUUGGCUGAGUUGGAAUGGUUUCUGUAAUUUUUUUAGUGAACGAUUUAUGAAUUUUCAAGUCUUUUUUGAGAUAUGGGAGAUGCCCUGACCUGAAGGCUCCUCUUUUAUACUGAAUUUUGGUUUCUUUUCUACCAAUAGCCAUUAGUGAUAUAGUGG
This 40621-nucleotide long non-coding RNA is filed under the name Durio zibethinus. RNAcentral describes it as "long non-coding RNA (DZIB_LNC000272)". Lineage: Eukaryota; Viridiplantae; Streptophyta; Magnoliopsida; Malvales; Malvaceae. The record is from RNAcentral.